RNAcentral lists this ribosomal RNA (571 nucleotides) under uncultured bacterium. RNAcentral's name for it is "partial 16S ribosomal RNA". It matches the Rfam family "Bacterial small subunit ribosomal RNA", at positions 355 to 918 of the family's 1533-position model. The record is from RNAcentral.
UGGGGAAUUUUGGACAAUGGGCGAAAGCCUGAUCCAGCAAUGCCGCGUGUGUGAAGAAGGCCUUCGGGUUGUAAAGCACUUUUGUCCGGAAAGAAAUCCUUGGCUCUAAUACAGUCGGGGGAUGACGGUACCGGAAGAAUAAGCACCGGCUAACUACGUGCCAGCAGCCGCGGUAAUACGUAGGGUGCAAGCGUUAAUCGGAAUUACUGGGCGUAAAGCGUGCGCAGGCGGUUUGCUAAGACCGAUGUGAAAUCCCCGGGCUCAACCUGGGAACUGCAUUGGUGACUGGCAGGCUAGAGUAUGGCAGAGGGGGGUAGAAUUCCACGUGUAGCAGUGAAAUGCGUAGAGAUGUGGAGGAAUACCGAUGGCGAAGGCAGCCCCCUGGGCCAAUACUGACGCUCAUGCACGAAAGCGUGGGGAGCAAACAGGAUUAGAUACCCUGGUAGUCCACGCCCUAAACGAUGUCAACUAGUUGUUGGGGAUUCAUUUCCUUAGUAACGUAGCUAACGCGUGAAGUUGACCGCCUGGGGAAGUACGGUCGCAAGAUUAAAACUCAAAUGAAUUGACGGGG